UUCCGGAGCUAACGCGUUAAGUCGACCGCCUGGGGAGUACGGCCGCAAGGUUAAAACUCAAAUGAAUUGACGGGGGCCCGCACAAGCGGUGGAGCAUGUGGUUUAAUUCGAUGCAACGCGAAGAACCUUACCUGGUCUUGACAUCCACAGAACUUUCCAGAGAUGGAUUGGUGCCUUCGGGAACUGUGAGACAGGUGCUGCAUGGCUGUCGUCAGCUCGUGUUGUGAAAUGUUGGGUUAAGUCCCGCAACGAGCGCAACCCUUAUCCUUUGUUGCCAGCGGUCCGGCCGGGAACUCAAAGGAGACUGCCAGUGAUAAACUGGAGGAAGGUGGGGAUGACGUCAAGUCAUCAUGGCCCUUACGACCAGGGCUACACACGUGCUACAAUGGCGCAUACAAAGAGAAGCGACCUCGCGAGAGCAAGCGGACCUCAUAAAGUGCGUCGUAGUCCGGAUUGGAGUCUGCAACUCGACUCCAUGAAGUCGGAAUCGCUAGUAAUCGUGGAUCAGAAUGCCACGGUGAAUACGUUCCCGGGCCUUGUACACACC
RNAcentral lists this ribosomal RNA (547 nucleotides) under Escherichia coli. RNAcentral's name for it is "bacterial SSU rRNA". It matches the Rfam family "Bacterial small subunit ribosomal RNA", at positions 844 to 1391 of the family's 1533-position model. Lineage: Bacteria; Pseudomonadati; Pseudomonadota; Gammaproteobacteria; Enterobacterales; Enterobacteriaceae. The record is from RNAcentral.